GUACACUGUAGCAUAUACAAUUGCAUAUUGCGCCGCGCAUUUCCGGGGAAGCGGGUGAAACUCCCGCGCGGUCCCGCCACCGUAUUGGGCUUUGCCCUCAGCCGGGGUACCGGGCACGGCGCUGUUCUCA
RNAcentral lists this non-coding RNA (130 nucleotides) under Subdoligranulum sp. The record is from RNAcentral. Lineage: Bacteria; Bacillati; Bacillota; Clostridia; Eubacteriales; Oscillospiraceae.